GUGGGGAAUUUUGGACAAUGGGCGCAAGCCUGAUCCAGCAAUGCCGCGUGCAGGAAGAAGGCCUUCGGGUUGUAAACUGCUUUUGUACGGAACGAAACGGUCCUGGUUAAUACCUGGGGCUAAUGACGGUACCGUAAGAAUAAGCACCGGCUAACUACGUGCCAGCAGCCGCGGUAAUACGUAGGGUGCGAGCGUUAAUCGGAAUUACUGGGCGUAAAGCGUGCGCAGGCGGUGCAGUAAGACAGGCGUGAAAUCCGCGGGCUCAACCUGGGAAUUGCGCUUGUGACUGCAGUGCUGGAGUACGGCAGAGGGGGGUGGAAUUCCGCGUGUAGCAGUGAAAGGCGUAGAUAUGCGGAGGAACACCGAUGGCGAAGGCAGUCCCCUGGGCCUGUACUGACGCUCAUGCACGAAAGCGUGGGGAGCAAACAGGAUUAGAAACCCGAGUAGUCC
Molecule: ribosomal RNA, 450 nt
Filed under: uncultured bacterium
Lineage: Bacteria
Description: partial 16S ribosomal RNA
Rfam family: Bacterial small subunit ribosomal RNA
Source: RNAcentral